This 253-nucleotide ribosomal RNA is filed under the name uncultured bacterium. RNAcentral's name for it is "partial 16S ribosomal RNA". It matches the Rfam family "Bacterial small subunit ribosomal RNA", at positions 524 to 776 of the family's 1533-position model. The record is from RNAcentral.
UACGUAGGGGCCUAGCGUUGUCCGGAAUUAUUGGGCGUAAAGAGCGUGUAGGCGGUUUGGUAGGUCCGCUGUGAAAACUCGAGGCUCAACCUCGAGACGCCGGUGGAAACCAUCAGACUAGAGUCCGGAAGAGGAGAGUGGAAUUCCUGGUGUAGCGGUGAAAUGCGCAGAUAUCAAGAGGACCACCUGAGGUGAAGACGGGUUGCUGGGCUGACACUGACGCUGAGGCGCGAAAGCUAGGGUAGCAAACGGG